This 95-nucleotide transfer RNA is filed under the name Thalassovita mediterranea. RNAcentral's name for it is "Thalassobius mediterraneus tRNA-???(tgag)". Lineage: Bacteria; Pseudomonadati; Pseudomonadota; Alphaproteobacteria; Rhodobacterales; Roseobacteraceae. The record is from RNAcentral.
GGGAGCGGGUGGCCAGGGCUACGGUGGCUUGGCUGCUUGAGGCCGGCCAUGAGGUGGAACUAAUCGAUCCCUUGGAUCUUGACCUGCCGACCUCG